GGGGAAUUUUGGACAAUGGGCGCAAGCCUGAUCCAGCAAUGCCGCGUGCAGGAUGAAGGCCUUCGGGUUGUAAACUGCUUUUGUCAGGGAAUAAACCCCCGUACGUGUACGGGGCUGAAGGUACCUGAAGAAUAAGCAUCGGCUAACUCCGUGCCAGCAGCCGCGGUAAUACGGAGGAUGCAAGCGUUAUCCGGAUUCAUUGGGUUUAAAGGGUGCGCAGGCGGAUUGAUAAGUCAGGGGUGAAAUCCCACAGCUCAACUGUGGAACUGCCUUUGAUACUGUUAGUCUUGAGUAUAGUUGAAGUGGGCGGAAUGUGUCAUGUAGCGGUGAAAUGCUUAGAUAUGACACAGAACACCGAUCGCGAAGGCAGCUCGCUAAGCUAUAACUGACGCUCAUGCACGAAAGCGUGGGGAUCAAACA
Molecule: ribosomal RNA, 420 nt
Filed under: uncultured Bacteroidota bacterium
Lineage: Bacteria; Pseudomonadati; Bacteroidota
Description: bacterial SSU rRNA
Rfam family: Bacterial small subunit ribosomal RNA
Source: RNAcentral